CUUUUUCCACACUUUUCAUGUGCAUCAAGAACAUGUGCCCGAAGUAAUAGUUCCACAUGUCAGAGUGAUUGCCAAAUUUGAGAAGAAAUACAUGUUCAUAGUUAACAGAUUGUUGUUGUUGUUGUGUAACUUCAAGUCAUUUCCAACAACCCUAUCACAUGGUUUUCUAAAACUGUGUAUGACUUGCCCAAGGUCACUCAGUGGGUUUAGUGGUACUGAAGCGACUUGCAGUAUAUUCUCAAUUAGCUUCUGAUACGAUAAAAAACCAGUGGGUUUUUGGGGCUAAGUGGGUAUCCGAACUCUGUUCUCCCGAAUCAUAGUCCAAUACUCAAACCACUACACCAUGCUGGCACCACUUAACAGAUACUGUUUAUUAAUAGGCAGAUGUCACACCAAACCAAUUAGUGACCAAACAGCAUGUUGAAUAGCUCUAGAGAAAAGUGCAUUCCUCGUCUCCUCUGUUUCUUCCCUUGAAGGACUUGGAUCCACAGGACACAUUCAUUGGCCUAGGCAAAAUGCUGGAUUGGAUUCUUAUUGCCUUCAAUGUUAUGAGUAAAGACAGAACCACAAGAAGGGAAUGCUGGGGAAUGCUAAUACAUCCAUUUGCAAGUCCCAACUGGAGCAAAUUCAAUAUAAUUCAUGUAAAUGUUGAUUUGGGAGACGGUGGUCGGACAUCCGGACAACGUGGCUGGUCCAGCGGAGUUGAUGGUGGAGGACCAUCACUUUGCUUCUCCCAGCUGGUGGUCUUUGCUUCUUCCAGCAUGCUGACAUUUGUCUGCUUGUUCCAUGGUACUGUUUUCAUGAUGUUGUGUUUUAUUGUGAUAUGUUUCUAUUUGGUUUUGUUUUGUUUUUAUUUUAUUGCAUUACGUUUUAACUCUGCGCUCUCCGGGCUUGUCCCUUUGUAAGACACCCCGAGUCCCUUUGGGGAGAUGGAGACGGGAUAUAAAAAUAAAGUUAUUAUUAUUACAA
Molecule: non-coding RNA, 969 nt
Organism: Anolis sagrei ordinatus
Lineage: Eukaryota; Metazoa; Chordata; Lepidosauria; Squamata; Anolidae
Source: RefSeq, a predicted model, not a curated record